RNAcentral lists this ribosomal RNA (954 nucleotides) under Triticum aestivum (bread wheat). RNAcentral's name for it is "partial small subunit ribosomal RNA". Lineage: Eukaryota; Viridiplantae; Streptophyta; Magnoliopsida; Poales; Poaceae. The record is from RNAcentral.
AUGUCGGCCCAGAUUUUGGCCCCGUCCACCAUCAUGACAGAUUCGGAGGUCGGACACGGUUUCUUUUCACUCGGUCGAACCAACCUUGCCCGUCUCUCUCUCUCCCCUCCCCCCUUCCUCCCAGAAUUCACCCGGCGGACCCAGCAAUCAGUCUGCGCAUCCCCCUCUCCCCCCCACGCGAAGCAAGAGCAGCGCGCCGACGCGGACGCGGACGCCGGCCGGCGAGACUGCUUUUGCGCGAUGAGCUGGAGAAUUCCUCUUUUCGGCUCUCAGCAGCAACAGCAGCAGCAGCAGCAACCUGAACCAAAUUUCCAGAACAUAUCUACGCAAUCUUGGUACCCUCCCUCGGUAGGUGGUUCAUCUUCACAUCCAUCCACACCCAGCUCUUCCGGUGCUAGUCCACACCAAAGAGCUUCAGAUCAUCCUCAGCCUUCAUCACGUGGCCAACCGUCUCCAGCUGAAGCUGCAGGGAUAAUUGCUCGUUUGAGGGAUAAGAGUGUUGAUGAGCUGCAGAGGCUGUUAAAGGACAAAGAGUCAUAUAAUGCUUUUUUCAAUUCACUUGACCAAGUUAAAACACAGAACAAUUUACGCGAUGAGCUUAGAAAGGAGACCCUGCAGCUUGCGAGAGAAAAUUUAGAAAAGGAGCAGCGGAUUUCAGAGCUCAGGAAUCAGUGUACUAUAAUCAGAACCACAGAACUAGCUGCCGCUGAGGACAGGUUGGCCGAGUUGGAAAGGCAAAAGGACGAGAUUAUGAAGUCCUAUUCUCCUGCUGCGCUGCUCAACAAGCUGCAAAGUACAAUGGCGAAGCUGGACGAGGAGUCAGAGGAGCUGCACCAAAAGUUCCUGGAGAAGGAUGUCGACCUGCCAACCUUCGUGCAGAAGUACAAGAAGCUCCGCGCUGCGCACCACAAGUGUGCGCUGCUCCACCUCUCCGGCAAGGCCUCGCUUCGCUGA